Molecule: ribosomal RNA, 483 nt
Filed under: uncultured bacterium
Lineage: Bacteria
Description: partial 16S ribosomal RNA
Rfam family: Bacterial small subunit ribosomal RNA
Source: RNAcentral
GACGAACGCUGGCGGCGUGCUUAACACAUGCAAGUCGAACGAUGAAGCCGGAGCUUGCUCUGGUGAAUUAGUGGCGAACGGGUGAGUAACACGUGAGUAACCCGCCCUUGACUCUGGGAUAACUGCUAGAAAUGGUAGCUAAUACCGGAUACGACCCUCGGAGGCAUCUCCAGGGGGUGGAAAGAAUUUCGGUCAAGGAUGGACUCGCGGCCUAUCAGCUAGUUGGUGAGGUAACGGCUCACCAAGGCGACGACGGGUAGCCGGCCUGAGAGGGUGACCGGCCACACUGGGACUGAGGCACGGCCCAGACUCCUACGGGAGGCAGCAGUGGGGAAUAUUGCACAAUGGGCGCAAGCCUGAUGCAGCAACGCCGCGUGAGGGAUGACGGCCUUCGGGUUGUAAACCUCUUUAGUAGGGAAGAAGCGAAAGUGACGGUACCUGCAGAAAAAGCACCGGCUAACUACGUGCCAGCCGCCGCCGUAA